GGCGCGGGGAUCCCUGCGGCCCCACCCGGAGGUGUCCGUCUCUUUCCCCCCCCCCGCCCCGACUUCGCGUCGUUACCGUCGCUGUGAGUGCUGCCCGCUCGUUGCCGCGGAGCUGAGGCUUUGUGCGAAGCGCCCCUUCCUUUUCAUCCUUCCGAACGGGGCCGGCGGGGCUCGGUGUGCGCGGCCGGCAGCGCUGCUCGGUAACGCGGGGUUGGGUCGGUGCGGUUUGUUCUGUCCCUUCCCUGUGCUUCAUCCCCAUGGGAAAUUCCUAAUACUGACUUUAUUUCAGAGCUUCCCCCGUGCUGGAGUGUGAGAGUAGGGGAGGGCGAGCGUGUGCGUCUGCCCUGCUGUGGGCUUCUCCUUUUCCUCUUUCACACUUUUUUUUCUUUCUUUUUUUUUUUCCUCCUUUUUUUUCUUUCUUUUCCCCGUUUAUUUAUUGAUAUAUUUCUGUUAUAGCCUCUGUAAAGAGGGGUUAAGCUGCACUUUUAAGUCAUCCCCCCCCAUCUCUGGGUGCAUCUAUCCCGGGGUGGGGGGGGGCUGUGCUUUCCCUGUGCUUUUUACGGCCCCAGGAGCUGCAUUGCAUUCAUGCACUCCUGCACGUUCCUCUCCCCGCAUUAUUGGGGGACUCGCUCCAGGUGAUGCGUGCAGGUCCUCGUUCCAGCGCUGCGGUGCAAAUUCUGGGGGGAUGCUCUUUGGAUUUGGGGCUCUCGGUGCAGCAGGUCGCGUCUUGCUCCUGCACAGCAGCGGUCGGAGGCACCGGCAGGAGGAGCUGCACCCCACGGCCAGGAGAAGGGCAGCUGCUUGAAGAGACAGAAGAACGGAGCCUCCCCAGGUGCAGCGCCGCUGCAGGACCAGGGCUGAAGUGCAUUGGGCUGCUCUGCUGCACCCCGGGCGGGUUUCCCUGCGGCUGCUGGCUCUUUGCAGCACAGCAGUUGCACUUUGCAGACCUGAACCUGCUGCCGUCAGCACUGAGGACACUGAAGUGUUGCAGGCUGAUAGCACCUGGGAAGGAAAAAAAAAAAAAAAACCACCACCACCACCAAAAUCCUGAGGCGGUAAUGCAUGCAUGUUCAUGUCUUCAUGUAGAGUGUUCGUCAGUGCCUUAUAGCAUGAUUUAA
This 1118-nucleotide long non-coding RNA is filed under the name Numida meleagris (helmeted guineafowl). Its description in RNAcentral is "lncRNA (ENSNMEG00000020249.1)". The record is from RNAcentral. Lineage: Eukaryota; Metazoa; Chordata; Aves; Galliformes; Numididae.